UACGGGGGGGGCAAGCGUUGUUCGGAAUUAUUGGGCGUAAAGCGCGCGUAGGUGGCUCGUAAAGUCGGCUGUGAAAGCCUGAAGCUUAACUUUAGAAAGUCAGUCGAUACUCACGAGCUAGAGUUCGGAAGAGGUAGCUAGAAUUUCCGGUGUAGCGGUGAAAUGCGUAGAUAUCGGGAGGAAUACCGGCGGCGAAGGCGGGCUACUGGGCCGAAACUGGCGCUGAGGCGCGAAAGCUAGGGGAGCAAACAGG
This 253-nucleotide ribosomal RNA is filed under the name uncultured bacterium. RNAcentral's name for it is "partial 16S ribosomal RNA". It matches the Rfam family "Bacterial small subunit ribosomal RNA", at positions 524 to 776 of the family's 1533-position model. The record is from RNAcentral.